Molecule: ribosomal RNA, 414 nt
Filed under: uncultured bacterium
Lineage: Bacteria
Description: bacterial SSU rRNA
Rfam family: Bacterial small subunit ribosomal RNA
Source: RNAcentral
GUGCCAGCAGCCGCGGUAAUACGUAGGUGGCAAGCGUUGUCCGGAUUUACUGGGCGUAAAGAGCGCGCAGGCGGUCGUUCAAGUCGCGUGUGAAAGCCCCCCGGCUCAACUGGGGAGGGUCACGCGAUACUGAUCGACUCGAAGGCAGGAGAGGGAAGUGGAAUUCCCGGUGUAGUGGUGAAAUGCGUAGAUAUCGGGAGGAACACCAGUGGCGAAGGCGACUUCCUGGCCUGUUCUUGACGCUGAGGCGCGAAAGCUAGGGGAGCGAACGGGAUUAGAUACCUCGGUAGUCCUAGCCGUAAACGAUGGACACUAGGUGUUGGUGGUAUCAACCCCGCCAGUGCCGAAGCUAACGCAUUAAGUGUCCCGCCUGGGGAGUACGGCCGCAAGGCUAAAACUCAAAGGAAUUGACGG